GUGCCCACUUCAGCAGCACAUACACUAAAAUUGGAACUAUAUAGAUAUUAGCAUGGCCCCUGUGCAAGGAUGACACACAAAUUCAUGAAGCAUUCAAUAUUUUU
Dipodomys spectabilis (banner-tailed kangaroo rat) is the source of this 104-nucleotide small nuclear RNA. NCBI's taxonomy places the organism in Eukaryota, Metazoa, Chordata, Mammalia, Rodentia, Heteromyidae. The record is from RefSeq and is a predicted model, not a curated record.